RNAcentral lists this ribosomal RNA (609 nucleotides) under uncultured bacterium. Its description in RNAcentral is "bacterial SSU rRNA". It matches the Rfam family "Bacterial small subunit ribosomal RNA", at positions 237 to 842 of the family's 1533-position model. The record is from RNAcentral.
CGCAUUAGCUAGUCGGCGGGGUAACGGCCCACCGAGGCGACGAUGCGUAGGGGUUCUGAGAGGAAGGUCCCCCACACUGGUACUGAGACACGGACCAGACUCCUACGGGAGGCAGCAGUGAGGAAUAUUGGUCAAUGGGCGAGAGCCUGAACCAGCCAAGUCGCGUGAGGGAAGACGGUCCUAUGGAUUGUAAACCUCUUUUGUCGGGGAGCAAAAAGGCCUCGUGAGGCCACAAGCGAGAGUACCCGAAGAAAAAGCAUCGGCUAACUCCGUGCCAGCAGCCGCGGUAAUACGGAGGAUGCGAGCGUUAUCCGGAUUUAUUGGGUUUAAAGGGUGCGUAGGCGGACUGGAAAGUCAGCGGUAAAAUCGAGAGGCUCAACCUCUUUCCGCCGUUGAAACUGUCGGUCUUGAGUGGGCGAGAAGUAUGCGGAAUGCGUGGUGUAGCGGUGAAAUGCAUAGAUAUCACGCAGAACUCCGAUUGCGAAGGCAGCAUACCGGCGCCCGACUGACGCUGAGGCACGAAAGCGUGGGUAUCGAACAGGAUUAGAUACCCUGGUAGUCCACGCAGUAAACGAUGAAUACUAAUUGUCCGGUCAGAAUGAUGACUGG